Molecule: long non-coding RNA, 511 nt
Organism: Saccostrea cuccullata (small rock oyster)
Lineage: Eukaryota; Metazoa; Mollusca; Bivalvia; Ostreida; Ostreidae
Exons: 3
Source: RefSeq, a predicted model, not a curated record
UCAAGGCCAAACUUUCCUUCACAAACGAAAAGACAAAAGUGGCCCCUUUCAAAAGUGGCGAUGGAAAAAUAUGCAGGGUAAUUUUAGAGGAUGAAACUUCCAAAAUUGUAGGCAUUUCCUUUGGAAGUCUGGCAGAAUGUGUUGCAUCAAAAGUGACACAUAAUAGGGAAUAUUAUAUUAAAGGAGCCAAAAUUAAGAAUGUCUACAAAACAAAUAAUGUGGGCCAUGGAUAUGAGCUUCACUUUGCAGAAGGCACAGAAUUUCAAGAUGCAUCUAAUGGAAAAAUCAUUUGUCUUGAUAAAAAAACUGUCCAAAGUUGUGAAAAGAAAGUCAGUAAAGCAGGGAAUAGCAGUGGUACAAGCAGAAAUGGAGGUUUGAAUCUGAAACCCACAUGUCUGAGGGAGGUUCGGCAGGCCUCUCAGAAUUUAUUGGAUGCCCAGAAAUUUGAUAUAUUGGCAAUCUUGAAAAAGACUAAAAAACCAGAGCCAAAGCAAAAUGGGAUGAUGAAGAG